This is a ribosomal RNA of Carassius auratus (goldfish), 119 nucleotides long. NCBI's taxonomy places the organism in Eukaryota, Metazoa, Chordata, Actinopteri, Cypriniformes, Cyprinidae. The record is from Ensembl.
GCUUACGGCCAUACCAACCUGGCUAUGCCCGAUCUCGUCUGAUCUCCGAAGCUAAGCAGGUUUGGGCUUGGUUAGUACUUGGAUGGGAGACCGCCUGGGAAUAUCAGGUGCUGUAAGCU